Molecule: non-coding RNA, 7753 nt
Organism: Rattus norvegicus (Norway rat)
Lineage: Eukaryota; Metazoa; Chordata; Mammalia; Rodentia; Muridae
Source: RefSeq, a predicted model, not a curated record
GAGGAGAGGUGGUGGUGCUUCACACACCGCACACAGGGCAGACACACAGGACCUGUGCGGAUCUGGCUGGGAAAGGGCUCUGGCUCCUGUACUCUUCUCUAUAAGAGAAUGACUCAGAGCCCAGACAAGCCCACCAGAGACAGGUUUUUCUGACUCCUGAUAUUUUCAGAACAAGAUGGGGUGGAAGUAGGGAAGAGAGUCCUGGUGUCUGUCUGCUCCAUGGUGCAGCCUUCUGUGGGUCUAAGCCUUGCUGAGGACUGAGUAGUGUGGGAGAGGAAGGCACCGCCUGCAAGACCUGCACUGUGGCCCAGGAAGGAUGGGGGCAGCCUUUGCAGAGGGAAGGAAGGGCUGUCCUGUUGCACGUGGGUGGAGGUAGCCCUUGAAGUGGCCCCGUAACCAAGGAGGUGCCUCAGCGUCCACUCAAGGAUUGGCUGUGUCCUCUGAGGGAGGAGGCCAUCCUACGAGACAGUCAGGCGGUGGGAAGGUGGACGGUGGGAAGAUGGAUGGUGGCAUCUCAGCUAUGGGCCAGGCCACUCUUAGCCACCUUCCCCUCAACCUUCUCCUUGUUGGUCUCUGGUGGCCUGCCUGCCCUCCAGGGUGGCCUAGCAGCAAACAUCAUUCUGUAUGGGCCAGCCACAAUCUUUCUAGGUUUGUCUUGGACAUGCACCCACAGUUCUGGAGUGUCUACAGGGCUCCCUCAUACUGAUGGUUCCUCUUAUUCCUAGCUAGUGCCUUCCAGGUAGCCUAGGGUGCGACUUUACCUCCUGACUACUGUGAUGGCGGGCAUUUCUGGAGUGGAGACGGAGGCUAAGGAGAAACAGCAAGAUGGGGUGGGAGGCUCCUUUGUCCUCUGCACGGCAUGGGCAGAGCUCCCACCACCUGCACAGGACAAUGCCAGCGUCCCUUCCUCACAGCCCAGGGAGCAAAGGGAGCUGCUGUAGCACGGGCCACAGCACAGGCUGUCAAGUGUGAGGGUGUGGCUAUCCACAGUGACUGGGCCAUGCUGGAACGGCCAGUGGUUGGUGCCACAGCUGGCCUCCAGCCACACGUCAUUUCCCCUCUGGCCUUUGCAGACAGCUGUGUAUCUAAAUCAUGUAAAUGGCCUCUUGGAACACCAGCUUCAAAUUUUACUUCAAGCAGAGUGGAAGCAAAGGGGGAUACAAAGGUGAGGCUGUGAGCCCAGAGCCUCUGCAGAGUGAGUGACUGCCCCCCCCUGGAGAAGGCCCUGCUGCAAGCCUGCCUCGAGGGCACGGUGCCUUGCACUGGGUGACGCUUGCCUGCAGUGCGGAAGAUCUGCAUGUGGGUGGAGGAACAUCAUACAUGUUGCUGGUAAUGUACAGGGCCACAUCCAAGUCAGCCCUGAACACACCCCUGGUCACAGGUUGUCUGGCCACAUGGGCUUCAGAGAUGAGAUGGCUCCUUUGUCCUCUCACAACCGAAGGACAGACCUUGUCUCAGGGCCACUGCUGUUCUUAACACCUUUAAUUAAACCGGUUGGGACCACCUCACCCCACCUCCUGCCAGCCUUUCACUCAAACAUUCCAUACUGUUCCUUGGUGACAUUAGGCUGGGUCUGACUUAGCACUUGCCGAUGGCCCCCGGAAGACAGUGACACUGUCACCCAUCCUGACAGCACAGGACAGUACAGUUCCUGGGCAAAAUAUUCAGCCAGAGGCGGUGUUCCACCCCCUACAGUAGAAUACGCUGUCCCACUUUCCGUACUGCCGGCCUGUUCCCUAACAACAAGACCACAGCUAAAUGAAGGCACUUGUUCAGAUAAUCAAUCACAUGCUCCAUAUGAUGGGACCAGUGGUUAGGCUCGAAGCAUCCAUGAUUCGUCUCCGGGCUCCAGUCCUGAUCUCAGGUUUCUGUGAAAACGUGGAGGGAGGGAACUGGCUGUUUCUGGAAGCUGACAGUGGGACUCCCCAUAAGGCUGGCGGCAUCACGCGCCCUCUGGUGGUCUCUGGAGAGGAGUGGCACGUUUACAGAAGGCUUCCCAUAGGACAGCCAUGAGAGGCCGGGAGCUCCUGGAAUUGAUGGGUUAUGACAGCUGCUGGGCUGUCGCCAGAUUCAGGGCAGUGUGUACCUGGCAUGUCUACAUACGCAUGCUAAAUAUGCAGCUUCAGCUGGACAGGAAGAGGAAUCUCAGACGUGCUUUCCUUGAAACUCAGUGGAUCCCUGACCUUUAAAAAUAAACCCUGAGCAGAGUCUUGCCAUGUUGCAUAGGGUGCCUGAGAGCUCCUGGCUCGUGCUGGGACUGCAGGAUAGGCCUCAGCCAAGGGGUGAGCAGGGGUCACUCCGUUCUCACAGUUUAUUCCAAGGCCUUGCACAACUUUGGCCAGAUCUCCCCUCCCCUCCCCCCUUUUGAAGCUGCUGAGCUCAUGGAUUGUGUUUAAACCUCUGACAAAGGAAUCUUUUUUAGAUUCCAGGGGUCCAAGAAACGCUUUGAAUCGUGGAGUGAGCCCACAGCCUGUGAACAAAGGCAUCGGUCUCUGGCCUGCAGUGGACACAGUCCUGGUGCCAGGGUGUGCUACAGCUUUGCUGUCAGAGCCAGUGAUGUGCAGAAGACCCUGGAGAGACACUCCACAUCCAAGGACAGCUCUCCCCUGAAGUGCACUGCAGAAACAGCCACGGUUUGGGGGUGAGACGGGAACGCCAGCAAGCAUGCAGGAGGAAUCGGCUACAAGUGCUGUACAGUGCCCUGCUAGAGCCCAGCCUGCUACUCUGGUGAAGAUGAAACACGCUGGCCCGGGCCGGCUCCAAGACGCUCACAGUUGCAACCUCCAAGAGAGCCAUGAAUCAGCACCGUGGAGCUGUGCCAGGGCUCAUCCUGCUCCGGGGAUGGACAGGGGAAAGGCAAGAGGCUCCAGAAAGGAUUUCGGCUCAGAAACUCGGCCUCCUGAUUCCUGUAAGUGCAUUGUCCGUCAGCCAGGUAGGAGCUCUGCACAGGCAUGGCCCCAUUUAUGUCCGUGUAUCCCUUGCUAGCUAUGAGCAGUUGCUUGCCAAAGACCAACUUCCAAUCCUGAGUCGAGAUGGCAGCAAGAAACUGGUGUGCAGGCCCUGUGCUCAUGGUGGAGAGGCAGGCUCUUAGUCUCAGGCCCCAUGGUCACGGAAGGUUGGUUCCUACAAAGCAAGGCUCUCCUUCCCACUGAGUGAGCCCCUCUGCUACCGCUGUGCAAAUUCGGUGCCUCUGACACCCCCAGAAAUUUUUAGAGAUGCUCUCCCUCCAGAACGUGUCGGAAGCUGUAAGAAGCUUCAGGGGUGCUCCCCUGGGCAGAGGUCUAGCUCCUCUUUUCUUUCACAGUUAAUUUUAGCAGAUGUUUAAGAUGGGAAGGGUCUGGCCUUCACUUUGGUAGGGACAUCCCACAGAAUGGGGUGUCACUGCAGAACAUCAUGCUGGCGAGAGGGAAGGGUCAGUGCAGGAGACACCUGAUCAUAGCUAUGUUCCUUUUAGCAUCCAAAUUCUGAGGCUGGGUCUGGACUAUGUAUAAACACGGGGGCACAGAAGGUUGACAUCCUCCAGCUCUGGAGCUGUGAACUGCAGUUGCCAAACAAAAUGGCUGAGCAGUGAUGGGUGGCCCUGCCCACAUAGCCCAGGGGUCCCAGCUUUCCUCUUACAUUGCGAGGCUGAGCUGCAGCUCACUGAGUCUUGGUCUUAACCUUACUUGAAAGCCUCUCUUCUGUUUAAGCAUUGGAGAGGACUACUGGGAAGGGGCAGUGUCCCCAGAGACCUGUGUGCCCUUGCUGCACCAAGCUUAGCAGUAGCAUAGCCAGCUGCUGUGAUACCUUUGAGACCAGAGACCAUCAGGAGAGAGGUGCAUGAGUGUGCACAGAGACAGAUGCAGGGUCCCACCCAGGCUGUUCUCUCCCCAGCAGAUGUCACACACUGCAGACCUUGUAGCCGUGCAUGGCACAGUGGGCACAGACUCUGAUGUCAAAUCUGCUGGUUCAAGCCCUCCUUGUUCAAGGCCUGGCGCUCCUCAGCAAUCCAGUCACUAAUGCACUUACUUCCCCUCCCCGAAUCUCCUGGGAAAGGCUUCUGUUUGAGUCACUUGCGAAAUGGCUGCUCUCUGUUAAGGCCGAGACCUGGUUGCUUUAGUGUUAUCUCUAAAUGACACCAGAAGCCUGGUUGUCUGAAAGUAAAUUAUUACGUUCACCUGACAGGAGACUGUGUUCUCGUUCACACUCUAUUCCCUCCCUCCCUCUCUCCCCCCUUUCUCUACUCCCUCCCCUCUCCCUCCCUUUCUCUCCCCACAUUCUGACUUGCACCUUGAUGUUGCAUGGAUAAAAGAAUAAAAAUUGUCUUCCAAGUGCUUUUUAAAGAAAAUCGUGUGAAGCCUGGAGCUCUGUGAGCCUGUCUCCGUGGCCUGGAAUGAUCUGUUCUGUGCUCCAGUGCCGGGAGGAAGGAGGGGCUCAGUGUUGUCCUGGCUUUUCUGCUCUCAGUAAAUACAGUGAUCAAACGGCUGAGGCCUGCUUCCUGUCAGCUCCACAGUCAGCCAGCAGGGAACACAAAGCUGUAAUUGAGUGGAAGCCUCAUUUCUUGGUGUCUCAUUUUUAAGUCUUUGCUGGGAGCAUGUUGUCAAUGGCAUUCUCAAUGAAACGUGUCCUUUUGCAUCCUCUGAGUUGAUGGGUGACGUGGACAGAGCCCGGUGCAGUCCCUGGGCAUGAUGCUGGAGUGGGAAGACCUGCAGCCUGGGUGACAGGGUGGACUCCCACCCUUCCAGAUACUUCCCUGGGACCUAAGGCCAGCAGACCCUCCUCCCUGCAGGUGAACCAGGCGAGUCACGGGGAGGGGGAUGGGCGGUGGCGCACAGCACUUGGCAGGUGCCAAGGGCCAUGUUUCCUUCCCACUCUGGUUGUUCCUGCAAGGGCCGUGCAGGAAUCAGAUGCACAUGCACAUCUGCUGCUCCACUCAGAGACUAGUUUGAGUCAUACGGGAGCGAAUAUGACAGUCUGCAGCAGAAGGCACACUGCACACGACACUUGUUACUGCGUGUCACUACGAGUCCUUUCUGGAGGUUUUAUCUAUUCUAGCAGUGCAUGCGUCCCUUGGUGAAAAUGCCAAAAGCCAUAAGAAACAGUGCAGUCGCUUAAUCUCCUGUGCUUUCCUGUGGUAAUCAUUUACCAGGGACAGAUGUGGGCAAGGGAAGACACAGAGGCCCUGCCCCACGCUCACAGAGCAAGCACAGGUAUCUGUGUGUGUGCGCGUGCGUGCACACAUGCUGUGCGUGCAUGUAUGCAUGAGCCAUCUACACAGAAAACAGAAUGUCUACAUGGAAACGCAUGGUACUGGACCUCUUCCCUUAUAGGCAAAAGCAGAAAAAGGUUUUGGUAUUGUCCUGGACUUCUAGUCCCUGUUAGUGGAGUUAGUGGCCAGAGAGGAGGGGCAAAGGCACAGAAGAGACUACUUUGAUGAAUGCUCACUGCCUCAUCCCUCUGGGAACAGGGGGCUAAUCCUAACCCUAACCCUAACCUUACAGAGGUCUCCCAGUCCACCCAACCUCUGUUUAUCAGAGGUGAGGCGAGGCUAAUGAGGGCCCCACCCACUGUGGUGGCUGGGAUCAGGGAGGACAGAGCACUUCCUGGAGGCCCAGUGUGGUUCUACUCAGUCUCUGUCCCACACAACCACCUUACAAGACCAGAGGAAAUGUCUCCAGGUGCCAAAGGCUGAGAAAGAGCCCUCAACAGAGAAGCAGAGGUGCUCCUUCCAGGGUCAGUGACGGCAAGGUACCUCCAAAGGGCCACAAAAGCCAGAGUCCUGGAAGCCACUCUGCCGGGUAAGAGUGGUCCCGUGCAUUCUCUCUCCCACCUUGGUGGACAGGCUUGAGUGGAGAAGCAGACAGGCUCAGGCUCAGGAAGCUGAGGGAGCCAGACAUGGCCUGUGACAGACACUACAGCCGGCUGAGAAGUGGCGUCCAGGACAGCCUCGUCCCUGACUGAUGAAGUGUGUGACCAGGGCUACUUUUGUUUGUUUGUCCUGAAAAAUCUCCUGGGCCCCUAGAUGCAGUAGAGAAGAAGAUCUUGCCUUCUGUUCCAACCUGCCCUGUUCCCUAUUCCACAUCAGGGGCCCUGUGGGCCCUGGUCAGCCUCCAUUCUGGCGGUGUGGGAGAUGCUUUUUCUGUGGGAAAUCUAUAGAGACUGGGCUUCUGUGGAGAUCUGCAGGAGUCACACCACAGAGGGCAGGGAGGACCAUCUGAAUAAUCCAUCCACAAGCACACCAAGUGCCAGCAUCUGGGGUAAGGUAGGCCCAUUCCUGAGUGGCCUCUAAGACGAGCAGGAAAUGAUGAGGGUUGGGCCGGGUAGGACACAGAGGAGACAGUGGCUCGUUCAAGGCCCAGCUGCCCAGACUCUACCACCCCAAACUGGUGUGAAGUCUGGUGUCUGGACCAAGGCCAUCACUACAGGGCUUUAUACAGUUUGUAUGGUUUUUGUACUUGGAAUUCUGUCUUAAUUAAGGUUUAAUUGCUGUGAAGAGAUACCAUGACCAAGACAACUCUUAUAAAGGAAAACAGUUAAUUGGGACUGGCUUACAGUUUCAGUCCAGUAUCAUCAUGGCGGGAAGCAUGGCAGCAUCUAGGCUAGAGGAGGGGCAGGCUCCUCCUCAAGGGACUACACUCUGCAGACAGCCAGGUUCUCAUUUCACACAGGGUGGAGCCGGAGCACAGGAAACCUCAAAGCUCAUGCUCACAGUGACACACUUUCUCCAGCAAGGCCACACCUCCUAAUGCUUCCCUGUGGACCAAGCAUUCAGCACAUGGGUCUAGGGGGGCCUUUCCUAUUCAAACCACCAGAUUCCUUUGUAAACCUUUAUGUAUUUCCGGAGGUAGGGGAAGAACCAUGCCUGAUGUGUGGAUAUGUGUGCAAACCUGAUGUGUAGAUGUGUGCAUGCCUGAUGUGACUGUGUAUGGGGAGCACGUGCUUGUCACAGUGCAUAUGGGGGUCAGAGAACAAUUGUGGAGUCAGUUUUCUCCUUCAGUCUUUGCAUGGGUUCUGGAUGUUGAAUUCAGGUCAUCGGGCUUGUGUAGCAAACACCUUUAACCUUUGAACCCUGGCCCUGGUUCUUGAGACCACUUUUUGCCCAAGACAUUUUUUUUUCCUCUGUGACUUUGGGUACAUGGCUAUACAAGAUAGGUGUAUAAAUCAAACAGUGAUCAUAAAGAAGUUAAUUUUAAAUAGUUUCUGGGUAUACCAGUAUAGGGCCUCCCCUUUGCUAGAUUAACUGGGUUAGAAUCACCUAGGAAACAAACCUCAAUGUGUGUUUGAAAGUAUUUCUAGGGCUGGAGAAAUGGCUCAGCGGUUAAGAGCACUGACUGCUCUUCCAGAGGUCCUGAGUUCAAUUCCCAGCAACCACAUGGUGGCUCACGACCAUCUGUAAUGGGAUCUGAUACCCUUUUCUGGUGAGUCUGAAGACAGUUAUAGUGUACUCACAUACAUAAAAUAAAUAAAUUAAUUAAAAAAGUAUUUCUAGACAGGUUCAACCAAGGCAGGGGAGACUAAUCCUGGAUGUGGGCAGCAGCGGCAACAGCAGCAGCAGUCCACGGGCAAGCACAGUGCCAGCGGUCACCACUGCUUCCUGCCUGGGAGUGGGAUGUGACCAGUCAUUACAUGCUUCAGCAAGUCUUCCCACCAUGAUGAAUGGCAAGCUAACAAGCCAUGAACCAAAAACCUUUUCCUCCCAUGAUGCAGUCUUCCCAGGUAUCUGGCCUCUGUGAUGAGAACAGUAAUUAAAAAUAAAAGCCAAUUUGCAUGCUAA